UCGACCUCGGAUCAGGUAGGAUUACCCGCUGAACUUAAGCAUAUCAAUAAGCGGAGGACAAGAAACCAACAGGGAUUGCCUCAGUAACUGCGAGUGAAGCGGCAACAGCCCAGAUUUGAAAUCCGGCUCUCUUGCGAGGGUCUGAGUUGUAAUCUGUAGAGGAUGUCGCUGGCCAACAGCUGCUUCGAAGUCCCCUGGAACGGGGCGCCAUAGAGGGUGAGAGCCCCGUACGGUGUAGGCUGGAUGGUCAUGAUGCGACUCCUUCGGCGAGUCGAGUAGUUUGGGAAUGCUGCUCUAAAUGGGAGGUAAAUUCCUUCUAAGGCUAAAUAUCGGCCGGAGACCGAUAGCGCACAAGUAGAGUGAUCGAAAGAUGAAAAGUACUUUGGAAAGAGGGUUAAACAGUACGUGAAAUUGUUGAAAGGGAAGCGCCCGCGACCAGACUUGUACCUGACUGCUCGCCCUGCGCUCGUCGUAGGGUCUCCCAGUCAGGGUUUGCAGGCCAGCAUCGGUUUGUGGUGGGGGAUAAGACCAACGGGAACGUGGCUCGUUUCGCGACGAGUGUUACAGCCCGCUGUAUGGUACCCUGGUGCAGAUCGAGGAACGCGUCUUUGACACGGAUGCUGGCGUAAUGGUCGUUGACGACCCGUCUUGAAACACGGACCAAGGAGUCGAGGUUUUCCGCGAGUGUGUGGGUGGUAGACCCGCCCGCGAAAUGAAAGUGAACGUAGGUGAGAGCUUUUGGGCGCAUCACCGACCGAUCCCAAUGUUUUCGGAGGGAAUCGAGUAUGAGCGGAGGGCCUCGGACCCGAAAGAUGACGAACUAUGCCUGCAUAGAAUGAAGCCAGAGGAAACUCUGGUGGAGGUUCGCAGCGGUUCUGACGUGCAAAUCGAUCGUCAAAUGUGGGCAUAGGGGCGAAAGACUAAUCGA
This 928-nucleotide ribosomal RNA is filed under the name Meliola clerodendri-infortunati. Its description in RNAcentral is "eukaryotic LSU rRNA". It matches the Rfam family "Eukaryotic large subunit ribosomal RNA", at positions 1 to 938 of the family's 3401-position model. Lineage: Eukaryota; Fungi; Ascomycota; Sordariomycetes; Meliolales; Meliolaceae. The record is from RNAcentral.